UAGAGAGAAAUCUCUAACAGUUGAGCAUUACGGGCAAAACGUUUUAUAAGAAACAUUCGCUGAUAAAGAGAAUCGCCACCGAGGCAGCAGAUAAUCAUCUGUGGGAAAUGGAAGUCCUUGACUUUGUUUACAACCUCCAAGUAUCAAGCUUUUGGUCUGAGCCUUGAGCCUGAGAAGUCAGAGCUGAACAGGAUGAGCCCAGCACAGAACCCAUCUCUUUUCAGAAGAUAGCUCUCUCCAGCACUAACAGAAUAAAUAUCACUCAGAAUUCA
Molecule: long non-coding RNA, 272 nt
Filed under: Junco hyemalis (dark-eyed junco)
Lineage: Eukaryota; Metazoa; Chordata; Aves; Passeriformes; Passerellidae
Description: lncRNA (ENSJHYG00000009119.1)
Source: RNAcentral